UGGGGAAUAUUGCACAAUGGAGGGAACUCUGAUGCAACGACGCCGCGUGAACGAAGAAGGCUUUCGAGUCGUAAAGUUCUUUUAUAUGGGAAGAUAAUGACGGUACCAUAAGAAGAAGCCCCGGCUAACUACGUGCCAGCAGCCGCGGUAAUACGUAGGGGGCUAGCGUUGUCCGGAAUCACUGGGCGUAAAGGGUUCGCAGGCGGAAAUGCAAGUCAGGUGUAAAAGGCAGUAGCUUAACUACUGUAAGCAUUUGAAACUGCAUAUCUUGAGAAGAGUAGAGGUAAGUGGAAUUUUUAGUGUAGCGGUGAAAUGCGUAGAUAUUAAAAAGAAUACCGGUGGCGAAGGCGACUUACUGGGCUCAGUCUGACGCUGAGGAACGAAAGCGUGGGUAGCAAACAGG
RNAcentral lists this ribosomal RNA (403 nucleotides) under bacterium. RNAcentral describes it as "partial 16S ribosomal RNA". It matches the Rfam family "Bacterial small subunit ribosomal RNA", at positions 355 to 776 of the family's 1533-position model. The record is from RNAcentral.